GUGGGCGUAGCUCAGUUGGUUAGAGCACCAGGUUGUGGUUCUGGGGGUCGUGGGUUCGAAACCCACCGCUCACC
This 74-nucleotide transfer RNA is filed under the name Ignavibacteria bacterium. RNAcentral's name for it is "tRNA-His". It matches the Rfam family "tRNA". Rfam says of the family: Transfer RNA (tRNA) molecules are approximately 80 nucleotides in length. Their secondary structure includes four short double-helical elements and three loops (D, anti-codon, and T loops). RNAcentral also lists the same sequence under 1 other name. The record is from RNAcentral. Lineage: Bacteria; Pseudomonadati; Ignavibacteriota; Ignavibacteria.